AAUCAUUGAUCAGGACAUUCAGAUGAUAUUAUCAGAGUGAAGGACUGAAUAGGACGUUGUGAUGAUAUUAUCAGAGUGAUUCUUGAUUAGGACGUUGUGAUAAUAUUAUCAGAGUCAAUUCCUUGAUCAGGACGUUGUGAUGAUGUUACCAGAGUGAAUCCUUGACAAGGACAUUUUGAUGAUUUUACCAGAGUGAAUCCUUGAUUAGGACUUUGUGAUGAUAUUAUCAGAGUGAUUCCUUGAUCAGGGCGUUCGGGUGAUAUCAGUGUGAAUCCUUGAUUAGGAUAAUGUGAUGAUAUCAGAGUGUAUCCUUGAUAAAGACAACCUUAUCAUUUCAUCAGAGCACAUCCUUUAUUAUGACAUUCUGAUGAGGGAAUCCAUUCUGAUGAUGUCAGAAUAUGUCCUUUACUAUAACAUUCUGAUGAUAUUAUGAGAGUGAAUCAUUCAUUAGGACAUUCUAGUGGUAUCAUCAGAGUAUGUCCUAGCUAUAACAUUCUGAUAAUAUUAUGAGAGUGAAUCAUUCAUUAGGACAUUCUGACCUGACCAUCAGAGUGUAUUCGUAAAAGGACAUUUUCAUCCUGACAUCAGGGUAUGUCCUUGAUUAUACCCUGAUGAUAUGACCAGGGUGUAUCACUGAUCAUAUAUUGUGAUCAUAUCAUCAGAACAUAUACAUGGCUAGGUGCACAUACCAUAGUCGAUACUUGUCGUUAAACAUUAUACCAUAUGAACAUAUCUGGAAGAGGGAGAGAAGGAGAAACGAUGUAGAGAUAAUGCGGGAAAGAAAGGGGUAAACGUCGAAUUGAAGGAGAGAAUAUGGGAACGGUCGGAGGGAGGGUUUGAUUGGAAGGAAAAUAGUGUGAACGAAAUGGGAGACGGUGGGAAAGGAAUUAGAGAGGGUUGGGACGGAUGGAGUGAGGGAGUUUAGGGAAGGGGAAAAGGCGAGAAUAUGAGAAAGGAAAGAAGGAAAAGGAAGAGGAGGAUGUGAACGGACGGGAAGAGCGAUUGAUGUCAAGUUGUUGGUAACCUUUACGACGUUUCCAAAUAUCGUUAGAAAUGUUACAGAUUCUUCCAUUAUACCGAUAUGCACUCCAAGAACGUAUAACACGCUUGUAUACACGUAGUGCUCUAAAUAGGAUCAGUUGAUAUGCUGUCUAUAAUGCUGAAGUUUAGUUAGAAGAAUCGCUCAUGGUCAGGAUAGUUACGUCUUAUUAACUUUGAACAAUUUCAUAGUAUAGACUUAUGAUUACCGCGAACAAUAUUACUAUUUUGUCGAUAUCGGUGUUAUUUAGCAUGCAUCUAGGUACCACGCCUUAUCGCCUUAUUGCUACAUCACACGGCUUUCUUUAUGACACCUCUUGCUUCCACUGUAGUUAGCAGACAUAUAUGUGCCAAAUUCUGCAAGUGUAAUUACAUGUGAUUGAAACUAGAAAGUAUUAUAUUCCAUGUACAUAGAAUACCGUCAAUCUUUAUUGUGCAGAUAGAAUGGUUAUGUAGGUGUGAGAUGCCAGUCACCCAGUAGAGCACGUAUUACACACAUGAUUCUAUAUAGAACUGUUCAGCAGGUGUUGCCUGUUCAGCAAAUUGUAUUACUCAUAGCUUUGCAGAUGCACUGGACUGGGUCUUCCUGUGAUCACCUGCCAGCACGUGAUUCAUUGUGUGGUACAUAGUCUAUGUAGAAUGUUACCUUCAUUGACGUCAGGCUAUUGUUACAUCGGCCUUGUAGCGGAUUCAUAUCCUGUCACCUGUUCAAAGCUGAUAAAAAUAUUAAUAUAAUUUAUUAUCGUGUAACAGGCUGGAGGCUGUAUUCAGUACGCUCUGCUACACAUAUGUUGAAAUGACACAUCUAAAAUUAAUGCCCUGAAUACCAAAAUAAUGUGGCAAUUUGUAAUCUAUUCUUUGAUCUUGUGUUUGGUACGGAUGAAAUCUUUACAUCUGAACCGUUCUCUGAAAUCUAUGAAUACAGACAGAAUCUUUUCAAAUAAUAUUGUCCGGAUUAGCGAGGUUCCAGACUAACAGGGGCGGUGGGGUAGCCUAGUGGUUAAAGCGUUCGCUCGUCACGCCGAAGAUGCGGGUUCGAUUCGUCACGUGGGUACAAUGUGUGAAGCCCAUUUAUGGUGUCCCCCGCCAUGAUAUUGCUGGAAAAUUGCUGAAAAGGCGUAAAACCAUACUCACUCCAAACUAACAAAUAAUAAUAUUUCUGUAGUGCCCUUUUGGAUGUAUGAUGAUUUAAACAGCUCGGACUUCAGGAUUUGCUGUUUGUUCAUGUACCCAUAUACAGUAGAACAUCCAUGUCUGUCUCAACAUGUGCUAACAUCCUUGGUCAACAUGACCCCAUGGUGUCAGACACCAUGACAGCAGCCGUGGUCAUAUCCUGACCAGCACAGUUGGCCAACAUGACCCUAUGGUGUCAGACACCAUCACAACAGCAGUGGUCAUAUCCUGACCAGGACCGUUGGUCAACAUGACCCCAUGGUGCCAGAAACCAUGACAACAGCCGUGGCCAUAUCCCGACCAGUACCGUUGGUCAACAUGACCCCAUGGUGUCAGACACCUUCAUAACAGCCGUGGUCAUAUACUAACCAGCACAGUUGCCCAACAUGACCCUAUGGUGUCAGAAACCAUCACAACAGACGUGGUCAUAAACUGCGUCAAAACAUGGAAACAUCAGACAUUUGUUAAUUUCUGUCUGAGAAUUCGUAAACUAUUUGUUUCAUGGUAAUAGACUCAUUUGCUUUUAUCUAAGUAGUCGCCAUGUAUGUGCUCAUAGAAACAUCAUUUCUUUGUUAAUUUUUGUCAAAAAAUUUCACAAACUAUGUGUUCUUUGGAACAUCAGACUCGACUCAUUUGUCUUUUGUCUAGGAAUUCGCAAAGUAUGUGUUCAUGUUUGUCAAACUUUUGGUGUAUUACUGGACGUCUCAACUGACGUCAAUGUUUCCACGAAACUAUGCCACUCAUAUGCAUAUGCCUAUACAGGCGCCUCUGUAUGUAACAUCUUUCAGAAUGGUUUGUUUUAUCUGACUGUUCGUCUUAUGCGAUUUCGUUACAAGCAGAGUUGGCUGUAUCCAUAUCCUCUCAACAGCUGUCAAAACUACAAGAUGCAUUAUAACUCAGCACAAGGACGAGACAGAUUACUGCUCAACGAGUAGAGGUACUAAGUGUUGGACCAAGCAACGAAUGUAGACAAUGUGUGCACAACGGUAGACACGUAGAAUGUAAAGUAUAGGUCAUUUGAUGUUCCCUAGUUUGUUGGGGAUGUAUUGGUGUUUCUGUGUAUGUUUGAUCCAAUGUUGUAUUUGUGUCAUCUAGAUCUCCUCACAGGGUCAUCCAGAAUCUACCGCUUCUCUUUUCCGAGGUGAAGGUCAUUACAUUGACGUUUAAUUAUCUUCUCAUAAUCACUGAUCAUUUUAGCGUGUUUUGUUGACUUUUGAUUAUCUUUGUAUCUCACAAGGUAUUCACUAACCCAAGCCCAAGGGAGGCUAUAUUUCACAAAGCGAACUUAUAACAGUAAUUUCACAAGGUGAAAUUAAUUAUUGAUCUCUAGAACUGGCAGGUCUGUCACUUCACGACCUCCAGCAAAACCUUCACAAUGUGAACAAACUGAAGCUGCUCCAUCACAAAGGGAGAUGAGUAUAUGAAAUUGUCAAGUCUUUCGCAAGGGUCACUAAAUGUUGCAAGUCGUUCUCAACUUAAAGUGUGUAGAACUCGACAAUGCAAACGUAGUUCACUCGAAACGUGAUCUACACAUGUAGUCAAUCACCAACUGAAGAUAAUUUCGCAAUCAGUUUGAAGUGAACAUGUUAAAUCUUUGUUGAGGCAAUGGUUGCUGAGUUGUAAACUAGCAACCGCUGAACAGCACCAAGCACUUAGUGCUGUCGCUAAUAAUCUGAAUAGCAACAGAGUGCAUAACGACUCAGUGAAUAAACACAGUGAUUGGAUUCACUAUACAUAUGUGUAAACAGUCAUGCAGUGAGCCCUGUUAAACCGGACUGUUUCAGGUGAAAUUGUCGUUAUACACAGGGUAGAUAAUGAUAGCUAUGGAUGAAAGUUCCUUUAUGUAGACACACACAAACACAGCCAUACAAAUAGCCUGUCUAUAUAGGCACAUAGGUGUGUGUGUCUGUAUGUGAAGGGACUUUAAUACAUAACCAUCUGUAUAUAUAUAUAUAUAUGGUAUGUAUAUAUCGUCUAACAGUUACCAUCCUAAGGUUACCGGAUUAACGGGGUUUAAUUCACUUCUCCAGUUACCAUGGUGAUCUCAAAACCGGGAACUGUUCGUUAGAUAAGAUUAGUCAUCACAAGACCUAUGUCUUGGCCAGACAGAGUUAACCACUACCUGCCUGCGAAGUGCGUUGCCUGUAUGUUAAGUUUCUGUUUGUGGCUAGGAACUGAUGUCAUUUCUACUCAUGAUUGUUGCUGUUUCCAGCUGUUGAUGUUAACGCUGACAUUUCCACUGUUACCUUUGCCGCUGUUACAUGACCCAUGUUGUGACUCCCGUGAUCACUGUUUCCUCGGUCGGCUUCAUAUAUGCAGCAUAUAUCUUUGUAAUUUUUGUAUAUUUUAUACACACUAUUAUGAAUAAAUUAUCCUUUAUUUAUUAUUUGUAAA
Molecule: long non-coding RNA, 4605 nt
Organism: Haliotis rubra (blacklip abalone)
Lineage: Eukaryota; Metazoa; Mollusca; Gastropoda; Lepetellida; Haliotidae
Exons: 2
Source: RefSeq, a predicted model, not a curated record